UCCCAAAGUGUUGAGUUCAGUGCAGGUUGCUUUCUCCUGUUCUGGUAAUUAAACUUUGGGAAAGUGAAAGGCAAGGGGUCUUUAUAUGGUGGCCAUGUUUGUGUGCGUCCGCCAGGAGACUCCAGGCUGACAGUC
Pristis pectinata (smalltooth sawfish) is the source of this 135-nucleotide small nucleolar RNA. The record is from RefSeq and is a predicted model, not a curated record. Lineage: Eukaryota; Metazoa; Chordata; Chondrichthyes; Rhinopristiformes; Pristidae.